RNAcentral lists this ribosomal RNA (253 nucleotides) under uncultured bacterium. Its description in RNAcentral is "partial 16S ribosomal RNA". It matches the Rfam family "Bacterial small subunit ribosomal RNA", at positions 524 to 776 of the family's 1533-position model. The record is from RNAcentral.
UACGUAGGGGGCUAGCGUUGUCCGGAAUCAUUGGGCGUAAAGAGCGUGUAGGCGGUCCGGUAAGUCCGCUGUGAAAGUCGGGGGCUCAACCCUCGAAUGCCGGUGGAUACUGUCGGGCUAGAGUGCGGAAGAGGCGAGUGGAAUUCCUGGUGUAGCGGUGAAAUGCGCAGAUAUCUGGAGGAACACCGGUGGCGAAGGCGGCGUUCUGGACUGCAACUGACACUGAUGAACGAAAGCCAGGGGAGCAAACGGG